RNAcentral lists this ribosomal RNA (458 nucleotides) under uncultured bacterium. RNAcentral's name for it is "partial 16S ribosomal RNA". It matches the Rfam family "Bacterial small subunit ribosomal RNA", at positions 339 to 795 of the family's 1533-position model. The record is from RNAcentral.
CUACGGGCUGCUCCAGUGAGGAAUAUUGCACAAUGGGGGCAACCCUGAUGCAGCAACGCCGCGUGUACGAAGAAUCUGAAUACAGUGUAAAGUACUGUUAGAAGGGACGAAAUAUUAGAUUAGGAGUCUAAUUUGCCGGUACCUUCUAAGAAAGCUCCGGCUAACUCCGUGCCAGCAGCCGCGGUAAUACGGGGGGAGCAAGCGUUGUCCGGAAUCAUUGGGCGUAAAGGGCAUGUAGGUUGUAAUUUAAGUCAGUUUUUAAAUGUCACGGCUUAACCGUGGACUGGAAUUGAAACUGGAUUACUUGAGUAUGAGAGGAGACAGAGGAAUACCUAGUGUAGCGGUGGAAUGCGUAGAUAUUAGGUAGAACACCUGAGGCGAAGGCGUCUGUCUGGCUCAUUACUGACACUGAAAUGCGAAAGCAUGGGUAGCGAACAGGAUUAGAUACCCGCGUAGUC